This 560-nucleotide ribosomal RNA is filed under the name uncultured bacterium. RNAcentral's name for it is "bacterial SSU rRNA". It matches the Rfam family "Bacterial small subunit ribosomal RNA", at positions 338 to 916 of the family's 1533-position model. The record is from RNAcentral.
CCUACGGGAGGCAGCAGUGGGGAAUCUUGCGCAAUGGGGGCAACCCUGACGCAGCCAUGCCGCGUGAAUGAUGAAGGCCUUAGGGUUGUAAAGUUCUUUUGCCCGUGACGAUGAUGACGGUAACGGGAGAAUAAGCUCCGGCUAACUUCGUGCCAGCAGCCGCGGUAAUACGAAGGGGGCUAGCGUUGUUCGGAAUUACUGGGCGUAAAGCGCGCGCAGGCGGUUCGAUAAGUUAGGGGUGAAAUCCCUGGGCUCAACCCAGGAAUGGCCUUUAAGACUGUCGAGCUAGAGGACGAGAGAGGUGAGUGGAAUUCCCAGUGUAGAGGUGAAAUUCGUAGAUAUUGGGAAGAACACCGGUGGCGAAGGCGGCUCACUGGCUCGUUUCUGACGCUGAGGCGCGAAAGCGUGGGGAGCAAACAGGAUUAGAUACCCUGGUAGUCCACGCCCUAAACGAUGAGUGCCAGGUGUCGGGAAGCUUAGCUUCUCGGCGCCGCAGCUAACGCCUUAAGCACUCCGCCUGGGGAGUACGGCCGCAGGUUAAACCUUAAAUGAAUUGACGG